Molecule: ribosomal RNA, 403 nt
Filed under: Fusobacteriota bacterium
Lineage: Bacteria; Fusobacteriati; Fusobacteriota
Description: Fusobacteria bacterium partial 16S ribosomal RNA
Rfam family: Bacterial small subunit ribosomal RNA
Source: RNAcentral
UGGGGAAUUUUGCACAAUGGAGGAAACUCUGAUGCAGCGACGCCGCGUGAGUGAUGAAGAUCUUCGGAUUGUAAAACUCUGUCCUUAGUGAAGAUAAUGACAGUAACUAAGAAGCAAGCCCUGGCUAAAUACGUGCCAGCAGCCGCGGUAAUACGUAUGGGGCAAGCGUUGUCCGGAAUUAUUGGGCGUAAAGGGUACGUAGGCGGUUUAAUAAGUCCUAAUUAAAAGGCUAUGGCUCAACCAUAGUAUGGUUAGGAAACUGUUGAACUUGAGUAGAUGAGGGGAAAGUGGAAUUCCAUGUGUAGCGGUGAAAUGCGUAGAUAUAUGGGGGAACACCAAUGGCGAAGGCAACUUUCUGGAAUCAAACUGACGCUGAGGUACGAAGGCGUGGGGAGCAAACAGG